UCCUCUUUGGCCAAGUGGCUACGGCGUUCCACUCGUAUAUUGUUCAGCGAUUAAACGACAUGGAAAGAUCACUCGUUCGAUUCGGGUAAGAGGAG
Non-coding RNA from Naganishia vaughanmartiniae, 95 nucleotides. Lineage: Eukaryota; Fungi; Basidiomycota; Tremellomycetes; Filobasidiales; Filobasidiaceae. The record is from the annotation of a GenBank genome assembly.